This 253-nucleotide ribosomal RNA is filed under the name uncultured bacterium. RNAcentral describes it as "partial 16S ribosomal RNA". It matches the Rfam family "Bacterial small subunit ribosomal RNA", at positions 524 to 776 of the family's 1533-position model. The record is from RNAcentral.
UACGAAGGGGGCGAGCGUUGUUCGGAAUCACUGGGCGUAAAGGGCGCGUAGGCGGCUUUGUAAGUCGGGGGUGAAAGCCUGUGGCUCAACCACAGAAUUGCCUUCGAUACUGCAUGGCUUGAGACCGGAAGAGGUAAGUGGAACUGCGAGUGUAGAGGUGAAAUUCGUAGAUAUUCGCAAGAACACCAGUGGCGAAGGCGGCUUACUGGUCCGGAUCUGACGCUGAGGCGCGAAAGCGUGGGGAGCAAACAGG